Salvelinus sp. IW2-2015 is the source of this 141-nucleotide small nuclear RNA. RefSeq annotates it as U4 spliceosomal RNA. The record is from RefSeq and is a predicted model, not a curated record. The transcript has a single exon. NCBI's taxonomy places the organism in Eukaryota, Metazoa, Chordata, Actinopteri, Salmoniformes, Salmonidae.
AUCCUUUCGCAGAGGAAAUAUCGUAGCCUAUGAGGUCUAUCCGAGGCGUGAUGAUUGCUGGUUGAAAACUUAAAUCAAUACCCCGCCGGGAUGACUUAAAAUAUAGUCAGCCCUGGCAAUUUUUUAAGAGUUUAGUAAGAG